RNAcentral lists this ribosomal RNA (207 nucleotides) under uncultured bacterium. RNAcentral describes it as "partial 16S ribosomal RNA". It matches the Rfam family "Bacterial small subunit ribosomal RNA", at positions 568 to 774 of the family's 1533-position model. The record is from RNAcentral.
UGUGUAGGCGGUUUUCUAAGUCUGGUGUGAAAUCUCCCGGCUCAACUGGGAGGGUGCGCCGAAAACUGGAAGGCUAGAGUGCGGGAUGGGUAAGUGGAAUUCCUGGUGUAGCGGUGAAAUGCGUAGAUACCAGGAGGAACACCUGUGGUGUAGACGGCUUACUGGACCGCAACUGACGCUGAGACACGAAAGCGUGGGUAGCAAACA